Molecule: ribosomal RNA, 212 nt
Filed under: Pichia kudriavzevii
Lineage: Eukaryota; Fungi; Ascomycota; Pichiomycetes; Pichiales; Pichiaceae
Description: partial 26S ribosomal RNA
Rfam family: Eukaryotic large subunit ribosomal RNA
Source: RNAcentral
GAAGGGGAUUGCCUCAGUAGCGGCGAGUGAAGCGGCAAGAGCUCAGAUUUGAAAUCGUGCUUUGCGGCACGAGUUGUAGAUUGCAGGUUGGAGUCUGUGUGGAAGGCGGUGUCCAAGUCCCUUGGAACAGGGCGCCCAGGAGGGUGAGAGCCCCGUGGGAUGCCGGCGGAAGCAGUGAGGCCCUUCUGACGAGUCGAGUUGUUUGGGAAUAA